RNAcentral lists this ribosomal RNA (434 nucleotides) under uncultured Roseburia sp. RNAcentral describes it as "partial 16S ribosomal RNA". It matches the Rfam family "Bacterial small subunit ribosomal RNA", at positions 341 to 792 of the family's 1533-position model. The record is from RNAcentral. Lineage: Bacteria; Bacillati; Bacillota; Clostridia; Lachnospirales; Lachnospiraceae.
ACGGAAGGCAGCAGUGGGGAAUAUUGCACAAUGGGCGAAAGCCUGAUGCAGCGACGCCGCGUGAGUGAUGAAGUAUUUCGGUAUGUAAAGCUCUAUCAGCAGGGAAGAUAAUGACGGUACCUGACUAAGAAGCACCGGCUAAAUACGUGCCAGCAGCCGCGGUAAUACGUAUGGUGCAAGCGUUAUCCGGAUUUACUGGGUGUAAAGGGAGCGCAGGCGGUACGGCAAGUCUGAUGUGAAGGCCCGGGGCUCAACCCCGGUACUGCAUUGGAAACUGUCGAACUAGAGUGUCGGAGGGGUAAGUGGAAUUCCUAGUGUAGCGGUGAAAUGCGUAGAUAUUAGGAGGAACACCAGUGGCGAAGGCGACUUACUGGACGAUAACUGACGCUGAGGCUCGAAAGCGUGGGGAGCAAACAGGAUUAGAUACCCUGGUA